GGGGUGGGGUGCUCCCUCCCGCUCCUUUAAAUCUGCGUAGGAGUGCGAGAAGACGUUGUUAAUUAAAUGACAGGCUCGGACAAGUGCAAGUACAGUACAACGAAAUGCAUUCUUGAAAGGAGGGACAACACCAUGACCGCCAUGGUCGACUAUUGCCCCCGACUCCAACACCAGUCCCAUCACCUCUACCACUACCGGUCCAAGAACACCCAAAAAUGUGGUCCUGGGGACCUUCCCCCUGCCCAUCUGCUUGAGAGUGGACUCCACCUCGGCCAGUGAGAUGGGCGUCCCCAACCCCUCCCUGACCUCAUCCGGCACGCGUCUCGUCAGGUAGUCCAGGAAACAAGUCCCCGCCUCCGCCUCGACCACACCGCCCCCAAAAAACCUCCUGAUGUCUGGGGGGGUGGUCUGGGACCCUGGCCCGAUGGUGGGGGCGGCCACAGACCACCACCCCCAGACUCUACCUCACCGAGCCGAAGAAGGCAGCAGAGCAGGUCUCGUCCGUCCCUGUAGGCCCUCUUCAAAUAGGUAUGAGCCCAUCAUACCUCAUCCGAGACGAACGGGAAGUACAUAUGGACUGUAACCGCCCAGAAAUUCCUCUUCGACAGGUCCGUCACCUGAAAGAGGUUGAAGGGACGAACCUGCCCUGCCUCGGCCACCUUCUUCAGGACCUCCUCCUUCUUCACCUCCAUGUAGAAGGUGACGUCAAAUGCCUGCUUCUGGAUGUUACCCUGGAGGCAGAGGACGUCGCCAGUGCCCAGCUUCAACGCCCCGAGGAGCAUCAACUGCCCGAACUGUUCCUGACUCCUGGGCUCCACUGGCUUCGCCAGGCUCUUCCACUGGAAUCGCAGGGUAUUCCGUGCCCCUGCCCAGGAGAUCGCACCAGCCACCACUGCCAUGGUGUAACUGAAUCCGGUCGAAACCGCUGCUCUUUUAGGGUUACCCUGGGGCCCUGACUCUUCUCUUGAUCUUAACCAAAAGGCUGAGAAGCGAUACGAUGAACCUUUCGGGAAGAACAAGUCAUUCUAAGACGUGUCAAACGCCAUGACGGUUACACCAAAACUAGCUCUUUAGACUUUCACAGGAAUAUCAAAACUUAUUUUUUAAUAAACCUAUACUGCUUACAUUGGACAUUGAUCAAUAUUCAGAAAAACUGCAUUGACACUGUUUGACACUGAGAAUAUAAAAAAUAUUUAUUGGGGAAAAUCAUCUGGUCAUCUGCCAUCCAAUCGGGAAUGAGAAAUUGUUAUUGGAUUCAAACAAAUUCAUCUACUUCGCUGAAAUAUUAAUUAGGAAAUUUGUGAUAGGAAACCAUAGUCAGAUUUCUGUUAACUUUAGAGACCAUCAUUAUAUUUAAAACAUAUUUGUUAUCCCACAUUAAAUCAAUGUGGAAGCACCAAGGAACUGAAGUACUCCAUAUGGCCACCAGGUGACGCCUGAGUUGCCUGCAGAGUGAGAUCCUUUCAAAAUAUAUUUAAAGGUGGGUAAUUAAUUUUUUGGUAUUAUAAUGGAACCCAGCAUGAUGCUUUUAUUUGAUUUCAUUACAACCCACAGCAGGGUAAAGGCCAAACUCAAAAAGGCAGGAUGGAUUAAAACAAUUAGAUAUGUAAUGUCAAAGCCAGUAAUGCCUUUAGGGAGAACAUCAUAAGGACUAAACUGAGAAUGGAUGUGCUGGAACCCUUUACAUUUGAAAUGUGUUUGUAGCCAGAGUUGGUUAUACCCCACCCUUUGUAAAACAUAUGCAGCGAGGAUAAAUACAUUUGCUGGAAUAAGUUGUUCAAUAUUUACACACUCUUCCCUCCAUAGCAAAUGUAUUACAUUGAAUAAAGUACAAGUGUUCCUCAUAACUUUUCUAACAGAGGCUUUGGUCCAAAAGCCGUCACUGGGAGGAAGUAUCACUGUGGUAAAUGCAAUCAGGGUGUUGGUCAAGAGACUCGCUGAAGGCCAUCAGUGCCGGGUGCCCUGAAAUGAAGAAUAUUAACAAUUAAACCCUGGUCAACCAUAUACAAAUAAUUAAGGAAUGUGAGGAAUCAGGAAAUUAGAGAUGAAAC
Long non-coding RNA from Esox lucius (northern pike), 2051 nucleotides. The record is from Ensembl. Lineage: Eukaryota; Metazoa; Chordata; Actinopteri; Esociformes; Esocidae.